CUGUGGGGUUUGUCUUCACUCGCGCCUGCGGUGAAAAACCGAUGCUUCGGGGCUGGCAGUACCUCUACAGACCCACCAGAUGGCGACUGUGGGAAGGAUGCCGAGCAGGACGAGAGAGGAAGAACUCCGUCGGGAGGGGUCAGGGCUUCCUGUCUGGAGGACCCGUCCGGAACAAUGCGCCUGCGAGGAGGUACUUCUCUGCUGCAAAGGGUUUUUGGGCCUCGGAUACAAAAAGGAACUCCGCGUUAGGAGCAGCCACCGGGUGCAUGUAAGUCGGUGGACCGGAAUCCGCCACCCCGCCCCGAUUUGUGUUUAACAUGAUUACAUAUAUCGAUGUUUUGAAAGUUAGCAGUGUGCUUCCGUAUUGAUAGAGGCUAAGCAUAUAGCCUAAACGUCGACGUACAGCACACAUAGAACGCGUUGGCGAACAUACACAGACUGAUUUCACUGUGAGAAACCUGAUGUAAUGUUUGUAUAAAUUUAUGAAAAAAGUGUAUAUAUAAAACGAUGGUUGUUCAUGAAGACAAGAAAUGUUCUUGGACACUUUAUGAAGACACCUGGACUGUACAGAAUAGACUUUGUAUAAUAGGCACAACAGGUGACUUUCUAAAAAUUAUAAAAAGACAUUCCUCCGCUUGCCGAACACGAGGAAAACGGGAAGAUGGAGCGGUAUUGGGAGGAUGACAAGGACUGGGCGGACGCCCGGUACAGGAGGAGCCGCAGGCCUACACGAGGCUUCUGGGGGCGCGAUGGCGUGGCGCAGAGGGGUCGAUGUCCGCAGGGACACCACACACACACACACACACACACACCAUUCCAACCCUAACCUGAAAUCGCCCCUCCGCGCGCACGGGGGGAGGGGGAAAGUGAAAUCUCACGUCUUCUUUGUCUUACAGGCCCGAACGGAGACAUCUCCUGGGGGCCAGUGAAUCACAGACCUUGAGGCCAGGGAGACAGACUAAAUUACAUAAAUGUGUAUAAAAGGGUCUAUGUGACAUGAAUAUUUUAUUGGUUAUGUAUAUAUAUAUAUAUAUACACCCCCUGAUACUCAUACGUGUUUGCGCGGCAAAACGACAACACAGGAGUUAUUUAGACAGCCAGGGUUUUAAACAUCAUUUGUACAUUGUUUAAAAUAUUGUAUAUAUCGUAGGACUGCUUCCUACGGGAUGCCGUGAUUUCCUUGCCCCGUCUAGGACCUACUGUGGUGUUUGUCUUCACUCGCGCCUGCGGUGAAAAAGCGAUGCUUUGGGGCUGGCAGUACCUCUGCAGACCCACCAGAUGGCCACUGUGGGAAGGAUGCCGAGCAGGACGAGAGAGGAAGAACUCCGUCAGGAGGGGUCAGUGCUUCCUGUCUGGAGGACCCGUCCGGAACAAUGUGCAUGCGCCUGCGAGGACGUACUUGUCUGCUGCAAAGGGGUUUUGGGCCUCGGAUUCAAAAAGGAAGUCUGCGUUAGGAGCAGCCACUGGGUGCAUGUAAGUCGGUGUACCGGAAUCCGUCCACCCGCCCUGAUUUGUGUUUAACAAGAUUAACAAUAUCGAUGUUUAGAAAGUUAACAGUGUGCUUCCGUAUUGAUAGAGGCUAAGCAUAAAGCCUAAACGUCGACGUAUAGCACACAUAGAACGUGUUGGUGAACAUACACAGACUGAUUUCACUGUUAGAAACCUCAUGUAAUGUUUGUGUAAAUUUAUGAAACAAGUGUGUGUAUAUAUAAAACGAUGGUUGUUAAUGAAGACACGAAACGUUCUUGGACACUUUAUUAGGACACCUGGACUGUACAGCAUUGACUUUUUAUAAUAGGCACAACAGGUGCCUUUAUAAAAAUUAUAAAAAGACAUUCCUCCGCUUGCCGAACACGAGGAAAACGGGAAGAUGGGGCGGUAUUGGGUGGAUGACGAGGACUGGCGGACGCCCGGUACAGGAGGCGCCACAGGCCUACACGAGGCUUCUGGGGAUGCGAUGGCGUGGCGCAGGGGGGUCGACGUCCGCAAGCACACGCACACACACCACACACACACACACACACACACACCAUUCCAGCCCAAACCCGAAAUCGCCCCUCCGCGCGCACGGGGGGAGGGGGAAAGUGAAAUCUCACGUCUUCUUGUCUUACAGGCCUGAACGGAGACAUCUCCUGGGGGCCAGUGAAUCACAGACCUUGAGGCCAGGGAGACAGACUAAAUUACAUAUAUGUGUAUAAAAGUGUCUAUGUGUACAUACCCACCAGAUGGCCACUGUGGGAAGGAUGCCGAGCAGGACGAGAGAGGAAGAACUCCGUCAGGAGGGGUCAGUGCUUCCUGUCUGGAGGACCCGUCCGGAACAAUGUGCAUGCGCCUGCGAGGAGGUACUUCUCUCCUGCAAAGGGUUAUUGGGCCUCCGAUACAAAAAGGAACUCUGCGUUAGGAGCAGCCACCGGGUGCAUGUAAGUCGGUCGACCGGAAUCCGGCCACCCACCCUGAUUUGUGUUUGACAUGAUAAGCAAUAUCGAUGUUUAGAAAGUUAGCAGUGUGCUUCUGUAUUGAUAGAGGCUAAGCAUAUAGCCUAAACGUCGACGUAUAGCACACAGAACGCGUUGCCUAACAUACACAGACUGAUUUCACUGUUAGAAACCUGAUGUAAUGUUUGUGUAAAUUUAUGAAACAAGUGUGUAUCUAUAAAACGAUGGUUGUUCAUGAAGACAAGAAACGUUCUUGGACACUUUAUUAGGACACCUGGACUGUACAGAAUACACUUUGUAUAAUAGGCACAACAGGUGCCUUUAUAAAAAUUAUAAAAAGACAAUCCGCCGCUUGCCGAACACGAGGAAAACGGGAAGAUGGGGCGGUAUUGGGAGGAUGACUAGGACUGGGCGGAUGCCCGGUACAGGAGGAGCCGCAGGCCUCCACGAGGCUUCUGGGGGCGUGAUGGCGUGGCGCAGAGGGGUCGAUGUCCGCAGGCACACACACACACACACACACACACACACACACACACACGAAUCCAGCCCUAACCCGAAAUCGCCCCUCCGCGCGCAUGGGGGGAGGGGGGAAGUGAAAUCUCACGUCUUCUUUGUCUUACAGGCCCAAACGGAGACAUCUCCUGGGGGCCAGUGACUCACAGACCUUGAGGCCAGGGAGACAGACUAAAUUAUAUAAAUGUGUAUAAAAGGGUCUAUUUGUACAUUUGUACAUGCAUGUUUUCUUGGUUAUGUGUGUAUGUAUAUAUAUAUAUAUAUAUAUAUACACACCCCCUGAUACUCAUACGUGUUUGCGCGGCAAAACGACAACACAGGAGUUAUUUAGACAGCCAGGGUUUUAAACAUCAUUUGUACAUUGUUUAAAAUAUUGUAUAUAUCGUAGGAGUGCUUCCUACGGGAUGCCGUGAUUUCCUUGCCCCGUCUAGGACCUACUGUGGUGUUUGUCUUCACUCGCGCCUGCGGUGAAAAAGCAAUGCUUCGGGGCUGGCAGUACCUCUGCAGACCCACCAGAUGGCGACUGUGGGAAGGAUGCUGAACAGGACGAGAGAGAAAGAACUCCGUCAGGAGGGGUCAGGGCUUCCUGUCUGGAGGACCCGUCCGGAACAAUGCGCAUGCGCCUGCGAAGAGGUACUUCUCUGCUGCAAAGUGUUUUUGGGCCUCAGAUACAAAAAGGAACUCCGCGUUAGGAGCAACCACCGUGUGCAUGUAAGUCGGUGGACCGGAAUCCGGCCACCCGCCCUGAUUUGUGUUUAACAUGAUAAGCAAUUUCGAUGUUUACAAAGUUAGCAGUGUGCUUCCGUAUUUGAUAGAGGCUAAGCAUAUAGCCCAAACGUCGACGUACAGCACACAUAGAACGCGUUGGCUAAUAUACACAGACUGAUUUCACUGUUAGAAAACUGAUGUCAUGUUUGUAUAAAUUUAUGAAACAAGUGUGAAUAUAUAAAACGAUGGCUGUUCAUGAAGACAAGAAACGUUCUUGGACACUUUAUUAGGACACCUGGACUGUACAGAAUAGACUUUGUAUAAUAGGCACAACAGGUGCCUUUGUAAAAAUUAUAAAAAGACAUUCCGCUGCUUGCUGAACACGAGGAAAACGGGAAGAUGGGGCGGUAUUGGGAGGUUGACGAGGACUGGGCGGACGAGGAGGCGCCGCAGGCCGACACGAGGCUUCUGGGGGCGAGAUGGCGUGGCGCAGGGAGGUCGAUGUCCGCAGGCACACACACACACACACACACACACACACACAACACACACACACCAAUCCAGCCCUAACCCGAAACCGCCCCUCCGCGCGCACGGGGGGAGGGGAAAAGUGAAAUCUCACGUCUUCUUUGUCUUACAGUCCCGAACGGAGACAUCUCCUGGGGGCCAGUGAAUCACAGACCUUGAGGCCAGGGAGACAGACUAAAUUAUAUAAAUGUGUAUAAAAGAGUCGAUGUGUACAUGUGUACAUGCAUGUUUUCUUGGUUAUGUGUGUGUGUGUGUGUAUAUAUAUAUAUAUAUAUAUAUAUAUAUAUAUAUAUAUAUAUAUAUAUAUAUAUCUUCUUCUUCUUCUUUUCCUUUUGGCUUGUCCCGUUAGGGGUCGCCACAGCGUGUCAUCUUUUGCCAUCUUAGCCUAUCUCCUGCAUCUUCCUCUCUAACCCCAACUGCCCUCAUGUCUUCCCUCACCACAUCCAUAAACCUUCUCUUUGGUCUUCCUCUCGCUCUUUUGCCUGGGAGCUCCAUCCUCAGCAUCCUUC
Syngnathoides biaculeatus (alligator pipefish) is the source of this 4693-nucleotide RNA transcript. RefSeq lists it as uncharacterized. The record is from RefSeq and is a predicted model, not a curated record. NCBI's taxonomy places the organism in Eukaryota, Metazoa, Chordata, Actinopteri, Syngnathiformes, Syngnathidae. The transcript has 2 exons.